Molecule: ribosomal RNA, 400 nt
Filed under: uncultured bacterium
Lineage: Bacteria
Description: bacterial SSU rRNA
Rfam family: Bacterial small subunit ribosomal RNA
Source: RNAcentral
GGGGAAUCUUAGACAAUGGGGGAAACCCUGAUCUAGCCAUGCCGCGUGAGCGAUGAAGGCCUUAGGGUUGUAAAGCUCUUUCAGAUGGGAAGAUAAUGACGGUACCAUCAGAAGAAGCCCCGGCUAACUCCGUGCCAGCAGCCGCGGUAAUACGGAGGGGGCUAGCGUUGUUCGGAAUUACUGGGCGUAAAGCGCGCGUAGGCGGAUUGGAAAGUUGGGGGUGAAAUCCCGGGGCUCAACCUCGGAACUGCCUUCAAAACUCCCAGUCUUGAGUUCGAGAGAGGUGAGUGGAAUUCCGAGUGUAGAGGUGAAAUUCGUAGAUAUUCGGAGGAACACCAGUGGCGAAGGCGGCUCACUGGCUCGAUACUGACGCUGAGGUGCGAAAGCGUGGGGAGCAAAC